This 87-nucleotide transfer RNA is filed under the name Porticoccaceae bacterium. RNAcentral describes it as "tRNA-Leu". It matches the Rfam family "tRNA". From Rfam's summary of the family: Transfer RNA (tRNA) molecules are approximately 80 nucleotides in length. Their secondary structure includes four short double-helical elements and three loops (D, anti-codon, and T loops). Further hydrogen bonds mediate the characteristic L-shaped molecular structure. tRNAs have two regions of fundamental functional importance: the anti-codon, which is responsible for specific mRNA codon recognition, and the 3' end, to which the tRNAs corresponding amino acid is attached (by aminoacyl-tRNA synthetases). tRNAs cope with the degeneracy of the genetic code in two manners: having more than one tRNA (with a specific anti-codon) for a particular amino acid; and 'wobble' base-pairing, i.e. permitting non-standard base-pairing at the 3rd anti-codon position. The record is from RNAcentral. Lineage: Bacteria; Pseudomonadati; Pseudomonadota; Gammaproteobacteria; Cellvibrionales; Porticoccaceae.
GCCCGGAUGGCGAAAUUGGUAGACGCAAGGGACUUAAAAUCCCUCGGUAGCAAUACCGUGCCGGUUCGAUUCCGGCUCCGGGCACCA